Passer domesticus (house sparrow) is the source of this 541-nucleotide long non-coding RNA. RefSeq lists it as uncharacterized. The record is from RefSeq and is a predicted model, not a curated record. The transcript has 3 exons. Lineage: Eukaryota; Metazoa; Chordata; Aves; Passeriformes; Passeridae.
UAUUACAGCAAGUUCCUGAGUGGGAAGAAAAGAUGCACCAUAAAGAAUUCUGUGAAUUGUUCAGAGCAACAGCUGCCAUGACCAGAAUUCUGCUAUUUUCUGUGAUGCCAAAGCAGUUUUCAGCUCACAACCACACCUCUGCACAUGAGACCUCACUGCUGACAGUCCUGAGAUCUGUUUGGUGACCGUGACAAAGAAACUACUUUGAGUGAAGGGACUGACAGCUUGGAAUUUUCUUCAGCCUUUUUCUAAUGGUCAGGGCAUUUUUGCAAAUCUUGUGUCUAUAUAAAAAAUAUUCUCAGUGAAUUUCCUAUAAAAAGGCAACAUUUUGAACUGCAUUGAUUAAAAUUUUCAUGUCUUUCUCAGUUUAGCAAGACCUACCAUAUACCAGUAUUCUAGCACUUCCACUUUUGCUUAGAACUGUAACAGCUUAAUUCAGGUUUUUCAUUCUAUUCAAUGAAAUGAGGACACAAUUGUUAAUGGUCACUGUCAUAGUGCCUGACCUCUUCCUUCUGAACAGGCUUGUGCCACCGGGACUGAG